CCCGGAGGGUCAGGAUGGCCGAGGCGGCCGCGAGAAAGGAAGCGGGCGGGCGCAGCAAGUCCUUAAAGGGGCAGGGUACUCUGAUGCCGGGCGAGGCAAGGCGGGGCUGGCCCGAGGGGUGCGAGCGUGGUCUCCACGCCGCGGUCGCCCAGGAGUGUGCGAUUCCCAGGCCUGACACCGCGAUAGGCAGGCCGGGAUGGCCCGGGUGGGAGCCGGUGCGCGCUUCUCCCGGGGGUGCCGGACACCCCGCGGCCCCGUGCUGCCUGCUGCCCGGCACGGACGGCACGCUAGGCCCUGGCCCUCCCUGCCCCGCUGUCCGACCCGCGCUGGUGACCGCUUCCGGAGGCGGUGAGCUCGAGGAGCCCUCGCCGUGCAGGCAGGGACCCCCUCCGGGCUCUGGCCAGGGUGCUUGCCAGGCUUUGUCCUUCAGGACGCCCCUCGCCCCUGCCCACUGAGCACUGCAGGCCAGGCUCUCCUCGUCCGGGCCCCGCGCUGGUGCGGCCCUGGUGCAGCCCAAGCCCCGAUCCGUGCCGUCCAGCCGCGCGUGUGCGCCCGUGGGUUCCCUGGGCACCCCCACCUGUGGAGGAGGACCUGGGGGUGAUCCGCCCAGCUCUCCAGUUUCUUGCACCAGGGGGUCCCCUCGGGGCCAGGCGGUGGCCUCACCCAGCGCCUUCUUGGAGCCUGUGCCUGUGUGCCCCCAACCCACAGGCUGAGUGCUACCAUCUCCUCGGACUUUUGUCUUUGCCUUUGCCUCAAGAACACCUGCCUCACCCCCAGGAUCUUGGGGGGAUGCAGAAUGGAGUGGAAACACCACGGACCUCUGCACAUGGGACCAGUACCAGAUGGAUCUGAACGCCCUCAGUAGUAUCCUUCUUAGCAGCAAAAGUGAUACCAGCCCAUACUACCAUCAGUCGGUGGUAGAUGAAUGUCUGUCCUUCAGCCAAAAAGGAGGAAAACACAGACACCCUCGAUAACACGGAUGAACCUUAAAAGGCCCUGAUAUUGCGGGGUUCCAUUGACACAAAAUGUCUGGGGAAGGCAGAUGCCUGGGGAUAGAUUAAUGGCUGCUGGUGGGGAGUGUGGCAGUCAGCACGCUAAAGCAUCAACCUGGAUGUGUCCAGAGAGGCAGUCAUGGUAUGGCAGCUGUCGCUCAAUAAUGCAGUUAUGGAAAGAGAAGAGGAAAGUGGGAAGCAUGCCGACUCGUCCUUUCUGUGCGCCUGAUCCCACGCCUGGAGGUUGCUCUGAGCAGCCUCCAGCUUGGCAGCCUCCCUGCAUCUCCUGAGGUGUGGGUUGGCCUUUCUGGUCUCCCAGCUGUUCCCAUCAGCACAUAAGCAUGCAAUUUCUCUUCGUCCCAACAGAACCCUGCUCUGCAUCCACCUUACCCCCCUAAGCCUGUUAGGAUUGUGGUGCUUUGUGCAGCAGGACUCCCCAAAAGAGCUGUGCAUUUGCCCUGCACCUCUUUCUCCUCUGACCCCUGUGUCCACCCAGUGGCCUGUGAUGUUUGUGUGGCUCAGUCACAUCUGCCUGCUUGCCUCAGCUCAAGUGAUGGGAUGUUUGUACUUCCACGUGCUCAGGCCAGUGACCUGGGGGCUGCUGGCACCCCAUGUACAACCCACUGGGGGACCCUUGCAGGCCAGCAGCUGGCCUCACACCUGUAGAGUCCACUUAUCUCACAGCAGCCAGGAAGAAACUGUCAGUGCCACCCACUGCCCACAUCUCCAGCUCUGCUGCCUCCCUCCAGCAGUCAGGCCUCCACAGAGCCCACUCUCCUACCUGGAAGGCUGCUCCCAGCCCACCCUCGCCAGCCUUGUAAUCAGCCUCUUCAUGCCCUCUCCUUAGGCAGCUCCACUUCAUUCUGCAGUGCUCAGACUCCAUCACACAAGGCUCAUAAUUUUUUUUUUCUUUUUGCCCUUAAAACAUACAGUCCAUGAGAACUGGGGUCUUUAUUUUGUUUCAUGAGGUCAGGCACAGAGUACCUGCUCAAUAUUGAAUGCUGAAUAAAUAGAAUUAGCCCAAAUGAAUGUGUUGAGAUCUAAAGGAUAUUGUAGAGGAACCAACCAGGACUUUAGAGAUGAGGAAACCCAGCAGGACACACACAAACCCAUCCAAGGCACGGCAGGACCACAACAUGGAAAGGCAGUGAUGAAAAGCAGUGGAAGAGAAAACUCAUUAUACAAAUAGUUACAAAGAUAAGAAAGGGAACAGCAGACUUCUUGGUCACAACACCAUAAGCUUGAAGACAAUGGCACGAAAUUUUUAUUUUAUUUUAUUAUUUAUUUAUUUGACAGACACAGCAUGAGAGAGAACACAAGCAAGGGGAGUGGGAGAGGGAGAAGGAGAUUUCCCACUGAGCAGGGAGCCGGAUGCAGGGCUUAAUCCCAAGACCCUGGGAUCAUGACCUGAGCCAAAGGGAGAUGCUUAAUGACUGAACCACUCAGGCACCCUUGGCAUAAAAUCUUUAACAUACUAAAAGAAAAAACUAAAAAAAUUGUCAACCUGGAUUGUAUAUGCCUUGAAUUAUCCUUCCCAACCUGAAUUAGAUUGAAAUAGAACACUUUCAGACCAAGAAAAGCUGAGUGAAUUCAUUGCCAGCAGGUCUGCAUGGAAGCAUACAGUAAAUUCUUUAAAUGAGGAAAAUGCUAGCAGAUGCAAACUUAGAUCUAUAGAAGCAGUGAAGAGUGCUGUAAUUGGCAAACAUGGGUAAAUAUAUCUAUUUUGUUUUAAAUUUCUUUUCUAAAUCAUUGGUUGCUGAAAGCAUAAAAAGGUAUUGCAAGGUACGGAAUACAGAAUGUCUGUAGAAGUAAAUACGUGGCCACAGUGGGGUACAAAGGGCAGGAGAGAGGCAGUAAGUUUCUGAUUCUUAUCAUAUUUGAAGGCACUUGUGGUCAGUUAAAGAGGUAUACUGAACUAGAGCAACUACAGACAUACAGCUAAGAAGUCAAUGGAGACAAAAUAACUUUUAGUCUAAAUUUAGAUAGAAGGUAAAGACAGAAAAAAUAACAGAAGACAAGCCGGACAAAUGGAAAAAGAGUAACAAAUCCAGCAAUAAUAAUCACGUUAAAUAUCAGUAGUCUAGACACUUGCUCAAUUGAAAGGCAGUGAUUGUCCAGUUGGAUUAAAAAGACCCACAUGUAUGCUCUCUACAAGAAACAGACUUCAAAUUUAAGACUUGGGUUGGAAGCAAAAGGAUCAAGAAAGAACUAACAUACAAACACUCAACGGGAGGGCCAGAGUGGCUGGGCCAGGACAAGGUGGACUUUAUUUGACAGACAGA
Long non-coding RNA from Mustela lutreola (European mink), 3274 nucleotides. RefSeq lists it as uncharacterized. The transcript is spliced from 2 exons. The record is from RefSeq and is a predicted model, not a curated record. NCBI's taxonomy places the organism in Eukaryota, Metazoa, Chordata, Mammalia, Carnivora, Mustelidae.